GAUGAACGCUGGCGGCGUGCCUAACACAUGCAAGUCGAACGGAGUUCUUAAGGAAUGCGGCUUCGGCCAAAUGACUUUUGAACUUAGUGGCGGACGGGUGAGUAACGCGUGAGCAACCUGCCUUUCAGAGGGGGAUAACAUUUGGAAACAGAUGCUAAUACCGCAUAAGAUUACAGUACCGCAUGAUACAGUGAUCAAAGGAGCAAUCCGCUGAAAGAUGGGCUCGCGUCCGAUUAGAUAGUUGGUGAGGUAAUGGCUCACCAAGUCGACGAUCGGUAGCCGGACUGAGAGGUUGAACGGCCACAUUGGGACUGAGACACGGCCCAGACUCCUACGGGAGGCAGCAGUGGGGAAUAUUGCACAAUGGGCGAAAGCCUGAUGCAGCAACGCCGCGUGAGGGAAGACGGUUUUCGGAUUGUAAACCUCUGUUUUCGGUGACGAAC
Molecule: ribosomal RNA, 443 nt
Filed under: uncultured bacterium
Lineage: Bacteria
Description: bacterial SSU rRNA
Rfam family: Bacterial small subunit ribosomal RNA
Source: RNAcentral